This 468-nucleotide ribosomal RNA is filed under the name uncultured bacterium. RNAcentral describes it as "partial 16S ribosomal RNA". It matches the Rfam family "Bacterial small subunit ribosomal RNA", at positions 28 to 507 of the family's 1533-position model. The record is from RNAcentral.
GACGAACGCUGGCGGCGUGCUUAACACAUGCAAGUCGAACGGCAAGGCACUGCUUUUGUGGGGUGCUCGAGUGGCGAACGGGUGCGUAACACGUGAGUAACCUGCUCUUGUCUUUGGGAUAACUUCAGGAAGCUGGGGCUACUAUAGGACCGGAGAUCAUGCUGCAUGGUGGGGGUUGGAUAGUCUCGGCGGUAGCGGAUGGACUGGCGGCUUAUCAGUUUGUUGGUGGGGUAGUGGCUUACCAAGUCUUUGACGGGUAGCCGGCCUGGGAGGGUGACCGGCCACAAUGGGACUACGGGACGGCCCAGACUGCAACGGGAGGCAACAGGGGGGAAUAUUACACAAUGAGCGGAAGCCGGAUGCAACGGCGUCGCGUGCGUGAUGACGGCCUGCUGGUUGUGAACCGCUGUCGCCUGAGACGAAGCGGGAGUGACGGUAAUGAAUAAAGAAGCACCGGCUAACUACGUG